CCUCAGUGUCUGCUAUCCUUACUCUAAUACCUGGAUGUUUGUGAGGGUGUAAUGAUAGAAUCUUCUUGAUUUCUACUCUUGAUAUGAUGGCAACACCAUGUUCCACGAUAAAACUGACACAAAAAACAAUGCAAAAUUUGUCUAAGAGAGGUUCAGCAAGCAUGAGGAAAACAUCUGAUAUCUCACAGAGCCCGCCAAGUUCACAGCUUACAGUGCCAGAGUAA
This 224-nucleotide long non-coding RNA is filed under the name Fukomys damarensis (Damara mole-rat). RNAcentral's name for it is "lncRNA (ENSFDAG00000029386.1)". The record is from RNAcentral. Lineage: Eukaryota; Metazoa; Chordata; Mammalia; Rodentia; Bathyergidae.